CUGGUUGUCUUGUUGCCUGCCCUGUGCUGUAAAAUGAGGGUCCCUUACUGCAUUAUCAAGGGGAAGGCAAGACUGGGACAUCUAGUCCACCGGAAGACCUGCACCACUGUCGCCUUCACACAGGUGAACUCAGAAGACAAAGGCACUUUGGCUAAGCUGGCGGCAGCUAUCAGGACCAAUUACAAUGACAGACAUGAUGAGAUCCGCUAUCACUGGGGCUGCAAUGUCCUG
This 231-nucleotide long non-coding RNA is filed under the name Homo sapiens (human). RNAcentral's name for it is "non-protein coding lnc-FKBP9-2:1". The record is from RNAcentral. Lineage: Eukaryota; Metazoa; Chordata; Mammalia; Primates; Hominidae.